UACGUAGGGUCCAAGCGUUAUCCGGAAUCACUGGGCGUAAAGCGUGCGUAGGCGGGUACUUAAGUGCGAUGCGAAAUCCUGUGGCUCAACCAUAUGGACUGUAUCGCAUACUGGGUACCUUGAGGACAUCAGAGGCAAAUGGAAUUACCAGUGUAGCAGUGAAAUGCGUAGAUAUCGGUAGGAACACCAAUGGCGAAGGCAGUUUGCUGGGAUGUAUCUGGCGCUAAGGCACGAAAGCGUGGGGAGCGAACAGG
Molecule: ribosomal RNA, 254 nt
Filed under: uncultured bacterium
Lineage: Bacteria
Description: partial 16S ribosomal RNA
Rfam family: Bacterial small subunit ribosomal RNA
Source: RNAcentral